This 74-nucleotide ribosomal RNA is filed under the name Bos indicus (zebu cattle). RNAcentral describes it as "partial small subunit ribosomal RNA". Lineage: Eukaryota; Metazoa; Chordata; Mammalia; Artiodactyla; Bovidae. The record is from RNAcentral.
CAUAGGUUUGGUCCCAGCCUUCCUGUUAACUCUUAAUAAACUUACACAUGCAAGCACUCACCCAGAGAAAGCCC